Molecule: ribosomal RNA, 235 nt
Filed under: uncultured bacterium
Lineage: Bacteria
Description: partial 16S ribosomal RNA
Rfam family: Bacterial small subunit ribosomal RNA
Source: RNAcentral
UGGCGGACGGGUGCGUAAUGUCUGGGAAACUGCCUGAUGGAGGGGGAUAACUACUGGAAACGGUAGCUAAUACCGCAUAACGUCGCAAGACCAAAGAGGGGGACCUUAGGGCCUCUUGCCAUCGGAUGUGCCCAGAUGGGAUUAGCUAGUAGGUGGGGUAACGGCUCACCUAGGCGACGAUCCCUAGCUGGUCUGAGAGGAUGACCAGCCACACUGGAACUGAGACACGGUCCAG